Harmonia axyridis is the source of this 587-nucleotide long non-coding RNA. RefSeq lists it as uncharacterized. Lineage: Eukaryota; Metazoa; Arthropoda; Insecta; Coleoptera; Coccinellidae. The transcript is spliced from 3 exons. The record is from RefSeq and is a predicted model, not a curated record.
GUGGUCAUUUUUAUUCCCUCAAAUAGUUAGUUGAUACUUCUAAACCUCCUAAAAAGGUUUUCGUUAUUUCGAAUGUUUGUGUAUCGAAAAGAUUUUCAUAAUUAUUUAAUAUUUUCAGAAGUAAUCAGAUGUGUUCCUCUCGCUACAACCAUCGAUAAGUUAAUUACUGAAUAAUCUACGUUUUGGUGUCAGUGGACAAGAAGAUAAUUCGUUAAACAUUCCGAAAAUAUGUACUCGACAUAUCUCGAACUUUUUAGAGUAGAAGGAGGUAAAGGAGGUUCUGAUAAGAUUGAUGAGCGUCAGUUACGAUAUUCGUAUGUCCUUGCUUGUUCUGAAAAUAGAGAGGCUUGGUAAGGUUAGAAUUGUUCUACCUAGGUUCUAGUUGCAUUGUGAAAAUAAGAUAUACUCAUGGAACGAUCCAAGAAGGUAUCAUCGAAUCACUUACUUUUACAUUAACGCAAUAAUAAAUGAGUUUUGUUACGAAAUAAAAGAUGUGUAGGAUAGAGCAAUGGGAAUGUUAUUUGCAUUAUUAACUACUGUUUUGUAUAUCUAGUUUUAUUGUACUGCUGCCGCAUUUUUUGUAUUAU